This 514-nucleotide ribosomal RNA is filed under the name uncultured bacterium. RNAcentral's name for it is "bacterial SSU rRNA". It matches the Rfam family "Bacterial small subunit ribosomal RNA", at positions 16 to 518 of the family's 1533-position model. The record is from RNAcentral.
AUCAUGGCUCAGGAUGAACGCUAGCUACAGGCUUAACACAUGCAAGUCGAGGGGCAGCAUGAAGUUUGCUUGCAAACUUUGAUGGCGACCGGCGCACGGGUGAGUAACGCGUAUCCAACCUGGCCCUUAGUAGGGGAUAGCCCGGCGAAAGUCGGAUUAAUACCCUAUGUUUUUCCUAUGAGGACAUCUGAGCAGGAACAAAGAUUUAUCGCUAAGGGAUGGGGAUGCGUCUGAUUAGCUUGUCGGCGGGGUAACGGCCCACCGAGGCGACGAUCAGUAGGGGUUCUGAGAGGAAGGUCCCCCACAUUGGUACUGAGACACGGACCAAACUCCUACGGGAGGCAGCAGUGAGGAAUAUUGGUCAAUGGGCGAGAGCCUGAACCAGCCAAGUAGCGUGCAGGAUGACUGCCCUAUGGGUUGUAAACUGCUUUUAUGCGGGAAUAAAGUGCAUCACGUGUGGUGUUUUGUAUGUACCGCAUGAAUAAGGACCGGCUAAUUCCGUGCCAGCCGCUGC